Belonocnema kinseyi is the source of this 988-nucleotide long non-coding RNA. RefSeq lists it as uncharacterized. The record is from RefSeq and is a predicted model, not a curated record. NCBI's taxonomy places the organism in Eukaryota, Metazoa, Arthropoda, Insecta, Hymenoptera, Cynipidae. The transcript is spliced from 3 exons.
UUGAAAGUUCAUUAAAUGCAAAUUCAAAUGCGGUUUGGGGGUCUUAGAUAGACUACAUUCUCGAAAAUUUUAUUUGUAUGUCGUUGCAGUAUUAAUAGUGAAGUCACCAUUAGUGAUUUUGUCAUAAUUCACCGUCUAGAUUAAAAUCGUAAGGGUUUUCUCGUGCGUGUAUCGUCUCUUGCUCUAAAGACAAAUGUAAUUGAUAGCGCCAAUAAAUUUCAAUCGCUGGGAGUUCUUGUUAGUCUUUAUUAGGCCUGUAGUAGAUUAUAAGUUGUUCAAACGAAUUAAAAUUUAGAUUUGAUUUAUUUUGGUUUUGUUUUUAAAUAUUCCUAGGAGGGUACCAUCAGGGUGUCUCUUAGUCAAAGACUUUUAUUCCAAAUUGUUGAGUUUGGGCACUGCCUUAUGCUUUUAUUCUGCUUUAUCUAAAGUUUCGCAACUCAAUAAUUCCGUGCAAAGGUCGUCAUCUUCUGAUAACUUCGUAAGGGGUAAGGUCUGCAAGUGGGGCGAGGACGUCCAAGAAAAGUCCAAGGUGCCAAACUCUCGGAUAUUUUAGAUGCGGAACUUCAGGAGGCUAGGAGUGGGUUGAAUCAGCGCGCUGAUAAGAUUUGUAAUCUCAUCAGCCUGCAUCUGUCGCCGCGUACCGAUCCCGAGCGUUGGCUGUGCACACAGGUAUAUGCUGAAUCUUUGAUUUGUCUCAGUGUGAAUAGCACGAGGUACAGGUUCUGUGUAUGUAGACGAUUCGCUCCUAUGAUGCAUGCCGAGCACACCGGUAAAUGUAGAAACGUCCUUCGGGAUCCAACAGUUUCCAAAAUUGAGACCGUUUGGAUAUCUGACCUAGAGUGCGGCGAGUUUGAAGGAACAGAUUCCGGAUUGGAAUUGGCAGGGCUGUCGAAUGAACGGCCUUAAUACUUGCUGUUUUAAAAUAUACUUUUUAUGGAAUGUUAGUUCCUUUCCUUUUAGUCAAUAAAUGAUGCUUCUGUACUUUUUA